RNAcentral lists this ribosomal RNA (253 nucleotides) under uncultured bacterium. Its description in RNAcentral is "partial 16S ribosomal RNA". It matches the Rfam family "Bacterial small subunit ribosomal RNA", at positions 524 to 776 of the family's 1533-position model. The record is from RNAcentral.
UACGUAGGUGGCGAGCGUUGUCCGGAUUUACUGGGCGUAAAGGGCGUGUAGGCGGCUUUGCAAGUCGGGUGUGAAAGCCCUCAGCUCAACUGAGGAAGUGCGCCCGAAACUGCAGAGCUUGAGUGCCGGAGAGGGUGGCGGAAUUCCCCAAGUAGAGGUGAAAUUCGUAGAUAUUGGGAAGAACACCGGUGGCGAAGGCGGCGAGCUGGCCUGUUACUGACGCUGAGGCGCGACAGCGUGGGGAGCAAACAGG